RNAcentral lists this ribosomal RNA (497 nucleotides) under uncultured bacterium. RNAcentral's name for it is "partial 16S ribosomal RNA". It matches the Rfam family "Bacterial small subunit ribosomal RNA", at positions 28 to 507 of the family's 1533-position model. The record is from RNAcentral.
GAUGAACGCUGGCGGCGUGCCUAAUACAUGCAAGUCGAGCGAACAGACGAGGAGCUUGCUCCUCUGACGUUAGCGGCGGAUGGGUGAGUAACACGUGGAUAACCUACCUAUAAGACUGGGAUAACUUCGGGAAACUGGAGCUAAUACCGGAUAAUAUAUUGAACCGCAUGGUUCAAUAGUGAAAGACGGUUUUGCUGUCACUUAUAGAUGGAUCCGCGCCGCAUUAGCUAGUUGGUAAGGUAACGGCUUACCAAGGCAACGAUGCGUAGCCGACCUGAGAGGAUGAUCGGCCACACUGGAACUGAGACACGGUCCAGACUCCUACGGGAGGCAGCAGUAGGGAAUCUUCCGCAAUGGGCGAAAGCCUGACGGAGCAACGCCGCGUGAGUGAUGAAGGUCUUCGGAUCGUAAAACUCUGUUAGUGGGGAAGAACAAAUGUGUAAGUAACUAUGCGCUUCUUGACGGUACCUGAUCAGAAAGCCACGGCUAACUACGUG